Carassius carassius (crucian carp) is the source of this 272-nucleotide long non-coding RNA. RefSeq lists it as uncharacterized. The transcript is spliced from 2 exons. The record is from RefSeq and is a predicted model, not a curated record. Lineage: Eukaryota; Metazoa; Chordata; Actinopteri; Cypriniformes; Cyprinidae.
GGAAUUAUUUUCACCUGUAGAUCAGGAAGACACUCAGUCCAUCACUGAUUGCAAUCAACAUACCAGAGGGAGCUCAUCCUCUGGAUUUAAGGAAGUCUAACCCUGCUGAUCCUCAGUCUGUGACUGUGGCUCAGAAGAAGGAAUAUGAAAUCAUUGCUCAGUGGGUGAAGGCAGAAAGAAAGAAGUCAUUAUGAGUUCAUUUUUGUGAACAAUUUAUUUCAACAUUGUAAACUUGUAAAAUAUUGAAUAAAUCCAUUUAUUUUCCAAAGAAA